CAGUAGCCACGGGAAUACGUAGGGUGCAAGCGUUAAUCGGAAUUACUGGGCGUAAAGCGUGCGCAGGCGGUUUGUUAAGACAGAUGUGAAAUCCCCGGGCUCAACCUGGGAACUGCAUUUGUGACUGGCAAGCUAGAGUAUGGCAGAGGGGGGUGGAAUUCCGCGUGUAGCAGUGAAAUGCGUAGAUAUGCGGAGGAACACCGAUGGCGAAGGCAGCCCCCUGGGCCAAUACUGACGCUCAUGCACGAAAGCGUGGGGAGCAAACAGGAUUAGAUACCCCUGUAUCCCUGUCUCUUAUACA
Molecule: ribosomal RNA, 301 nt
Filed under: uncultured bacterium
Lineage: Bacteria
Description: partial 16S ribosomal RNA
Rfam family: Bacterial small subunit ribosomal RNA
Source: RNAcentral